CUCAACCGCAAGGAGGGGGAUGCCUAAGGCAGGGCUAGUGACUGGGGUGGAGUCGUAACAAGGUAGCCGUACCGGAAGGUGUGGCUGGAUCACCUCCUUAAAGGGAGACCUAAUUCGGGUAUAAGACGAAAAAAUAGUAGUCGAAACCAAGAAUCAAUCCCAAAAGGUCGGAGCGAGGCGAAAUUGGCUUUCAAACUAGGUUCUGGGUUCAAACAAGACCUGAAUCAGGAACAAGGGCUAUUAGCUCAGGUGGUUAGAGCGCACCCCUGAUAAGGGUGAGGUCCCUGGUUCGAGUCCAGGAUGGCCCACCUGCACAGGUGGCAAAAACAAAGAAAAGAAGCUCCGAAUCAGCACCUUAUCUUACUUAUAUAUAGUAAGAGAGAAUGCUGGCUCUGAGUUCAGAGUCCAGAGGAACCUUGAAAACUGCAUAGAGCUAGGUGAAAAAGCCAAAAAAGAAGACCGCAAGGUCAAGCUAAUAAGGGCUAACGGUG
Molecule: unclassified non-coding RNA, 491 nt
Filed under: uncultured Microcystis sp.
Lineage: Bacteria; Bacillati; Cyanobacteriota; Cyanophyceae; Chroococcales; Microcystaceae
Description: partial contains 16S ribosomal RNA, 16S-23S ribosomal RNA intergenic spacer, and 23S ribosomal RNA
Rfam family: Bacterial small subunit ribosomal RNA (bases 1-100)
Source: RNAcentral